UGGGGAAUAUUGCACAAUGGGCGCAAGCCUGAUGCAGCAACGCCGCGUGAGGGACGACGGCCUUCGGGUUGUAAACCUCUUUUGGCAGGGAAGAAGCGAAAGUGACGGUACCUGCAGAAAAAGCACCGGCUAACUACGUGCCAGCAGCCGCGGUGAUACGUAGGGUGCAAGCGUUGUCCGGAAUUAUUGGGCGUAAAGAGCUCGUAGGCAGUUUGUCGCGUCUGCUGUGAAAACCCGAGGCUCAACCUCGGGCCUGCAGUGGGUACGGGCAAACUAGAGUGCGGUAGGGGAGAUUGGAAUUCCUGGUGUAGCGGUGGAAUGCGCAGAUAUCAGGAGGAGCACCGAUGGCGAAGGCAGAUCUCUGGGCCGUAACUGACGCUGAGGAGCGAAAGCAUGGGGAGCGAACA
RNAcentral lists this ribosomal RNA (407 nucleotides) under uncultured bacterium. Its description in RNAcentral is "bacterial SSU rRNA". It matches the Rfam family "Bacterial small subunit ribosomal RNA", at positions 355 to 774 of the family's 1533-position model. The record is from RNAcentral.